RNAcentral lists this ribosomal RNA (649 nucleotides) under Clostridioides difficile. RNAcentral describes it as "bacterial LSU rRNA". It matches the Rfam family "Bacterial large subunit ribosomal RNA", at positions 1818 to 2465 of the family's 2925-position model. The record is from RNAcentral. Lineage: Bacteria; Bacillati; Bacillota; Clostridia; Peptostreptococcales; Peptostreptococcaceae.
GGUUUCUGCUAAGUCGCAAGACGAUGUAUAGGAGCUGACGCCUGCCCGGUGCUGGAAGGUUAAGGGGAUCUGUUAGAGCAAUCGAAGCAGUGAACUUAAGCCCCAGUAAACGGCGGCCGUAACUAUAACGGUCCUAAGGUAGCGAAAUUCCUUGUCGGGUAAGUUCCGACCCGCACGAAAGGCGUAACGAUUUGGGCACUGUCUCAACAACAGACUCGGUGAAAUUGUAAUUCCGGUGAAGAUGCCGGAUACCUGCGACAGGACGGAAAGACCCCAUGGAGCUUUACUGUAGCUUGACAUUGGGUCUUGGUACUACAUGUACAGGAUAGGUGGGAGGCUUUGAAACCAGGACGCCAGUUUUGGCGGAGCCAUCCUUGGGAUACCACCCUUGUAGUACUGGGACUCUAACCAUAGGCCAUGAAUCUGGUCUUGGGACACUGUCAGGUGGGCAGUUUGACUGGGGCGGUCGCCUCCCAAAAGGGAACGGAGGCGCUCAAAGGUUCUCUCAGUACGGUCGGAAAUCGUACGUAGAGUGUAAAGGCAAAAGAGAGCUUGAUUGCAAGACAUACAGGUCGAGCAAGGAUGAAAAUCGGACUUAGUGAUCCGGUGGUUCUGCGUGGAAGGGCCAUCGCUCAACGGAUAAAAGCUA